RNAcentral lists this long non-coding RNA (1323 nucleotides) under Mytilus galloprovincialis (Mediterranean mussel). The record is from RNAcentral. Lineage: Eukaryota; Metazoa; Mollusca; Bivalvia; Mytilida; Mytilidae.
AUAGAAAUUCUUUUAAUCAGAAAAUCCUCAUGACAAUUUUUUUUUUUAUCAAUGAAACUGCAAAUACAGAGGUGUAUUUCAAUGUGGCCCAGAAAGAACUGAAAAAUAUGGGCUGUAAAAAUUGUGAAUUUAUAUGGAACUCAUCUCUUAUUGGAUGAACACUGCUAUUGUUUUUCUUCAACUACAUCCUAACAGCAUCAUCAGAGCGUUAAGAUCCUUGUAUUUUUGUAAGGUUACUCAAGAUUUUUUAAAAGUGGCUCCAGACAAGGAAUGAUGAAGUAUGCUUUGGUUAUGCUAACAAAUAGUGAGCUUGUUUUUUGGCAAUAUGUAUAUAUAGUCCAUAUAACUUUUUUUUAAAGCUAAAUGAAUUUGAAUUUGAAAAAUUAUUAUACAUGAUUUUUGUGAUAACUUAAAAUAUCUAGUCCCCAACUUUCUUAACUGUCUGUCAAAAUAAAUGAGAGCAUUUUAUUUCAUAUCUUUAUUUUAUUUUACUGAUUUAAUAAAAAAUCUAAUAUAUUUAAUAUAUUCAAAGAAGUUGCCACACAUAAACAUAUAUGCUAAAUAAAUAACUGUAAAAAGGUGAUGGUUGCAUGGUUAUGUAAUUAGUAGUAUUAAUUUAGUUUUAUCAACAUAGUUAUAUAUAUUCUGGUUUAAGAUGGGUCAUAUUACCAUUAAAAGGGGGGAUGGCUUACAGCCUAUUUUAAUAUGGGGAAAUUAAAAUAAAUCACUAAUUCAGACGAAGAUCUUUCUCAUGGUGUAUUCUGCUUGACCAUCAACAUUGAAAAAGGUAUACCUUCUCUCAUUGUACUUUAAAGAAACUAAAUAGUUGUUUUGAAUAUAUGGCCAGGGGCAGAUCCAUUCAUUUUAAAAAGGUGGGGUUCCUAGUUCCUAACCCAGGACCAAGAGGGGGGUUCCAACUACAUAUCCCCAUUCAAAUGCAUUGAUCGUCAAAAAAAGGAUCAUCUAUUUACAUGAGGUCACCCCCCUUGAUCUGCCACUGUGGCCUAUUUCACAAUGCUUAGGUAUAAAUGAAAAUUACAUGAGGUCACCCCCCUGGAUCUGCCACUGUGGCCUAUUUUCACAAUGCUUAGGUAUAAAUGAAAAUGCUUAGGUAUAAAUGAAAAUUACAUGAGGUCACUCCCCUGGAUCUGCCUGCCACUGUGGCCUAUUUUCACAAUGCUUAGGUAUAAAUGAAAUUUAAAAUAUUUGAUUCAAAAUAAAUUAUUAUGCCACAGAUCUAGAUGUAAUGGUGAUCUGCAUCAAUACACAGAAGUUUUAAAAUUAUUAUUUUUUCCCCAUCUUUUUAACAAUGCAUGAUAACAC